This 450-nucleotide ribosomal RNA is filed under the name uncultured bacterium. Its description in RNAcentral is "bacterial SSU rRNA". It matches the Rfam family "Bacterial small subunit ribosomal RNA", at positions 354 to 796 of the family's 1533-position model. The record is from RNAcentral.
GUGGGGAAUAUUGGACAAUGGGCGAAAGCCUGAUCCAGCCAUGCCGCGUGUGUGAAGAAGGUCUUCGGAUUGUAAAGCACUUUAAGUUGGGAGGAAGGGCAGUAAGUUAAUACCUUGCUGUUUUGACGUUACCGACAGAAUAAGCACCGGCUAACUUCGUGCCAGCAGCCGCGGUAAUACGAAGGGUGCAAGCGUUAAUCGGAAUUACUGGGCGUAAAGCGCGCGUAGGUGGUUUUGUAAGUUGGAGGUGAAAUACCCGGGCUCAACCUGGGAACUGCCUCCAAAACUGCAUGACUAGAGUACGGUAGAGGGUAGUGGAAUUUCCUGUGUAGCGGUGAAAUGCGUAGAUAUAGGAAGGAACACCAGUGGCGAAGGCGACUACCUGGACUGAUACUGACACUGAGGUGCGAAAGCGUGGGGAGCAAACAGGAUUAGAUACCCCGGUAGUCC